GGGGUGACCGCGGAGUAUAAGAUAUCCUCCAUGAAAAAAAGCUAACUGCCCUUAUUAGAGAAAGACACUUCCAAAAAAUAAUAAAUUAAUUUUAAAUGAUCCGACAUUCGAUCAACGAACCAAGUUACCCUGGGGAUAACAGCGCAAUCCGUCCCGAGAGCCCCUAUCGACAGGCGGGUUUACGACCUCGAUGUUGGAUCAGGGUAUCCUAGUGGUGCAGCAGCUACUAAAGGUUCGUUUGUUCAACGAUUAAAACCCU
This 259-nucleotide ribosomal RNA is filed under the name Boophis madagascariensis (Madagascar bright-eyed frog). RNAcentral's name for it is "partial 16S ribosomal RNA". It matches the Rfam family "Bacterial large subunit ribosomal RNA", at positions 2314 to 2597 of the family's 2925-position model. The record is from RNAcentral. Lineage: Eukaryota; Metazoa; Chordata; Amphibia; Anura; Mantellidae.